RNAcentral lists this ribosomal RNA (253 nucleotides) under uncultured bacterium. RNAcentral describes it as "partial 16S ribosomal RNA". It matches the Rfam family "Bacterial small subunit ribosomal RNA", at positions 524 to 776 of the family's 1533-position model. The record is from RNAcentral.
UACGUAGGUGGCAAGCGUUAUCCGGAAUUAUUGGGCGUAAAGCGUGCGCAGGCGGUUAUGCAAGACAGAUGUGAAAUCCCCGGGCUCAACCUGGGAACUGCAUUUGUGACUGCAUGGCUAGAGUACGGUAGAGGGGGAUGGAAUUCCGCGUGUAGCAGUGAAAUGCGUAGAUAUGCGGAGGAACACCGAUGGCGAAGGCAAUCCCCUGGACCUGUACUGACGCUCAUGCACGAAAGCGUGGGGAGCAAACAGG